GCUGAGGUAGCUUUGCUCUUUUUAAGUGGGUGGUAGACUGUAGGUGACUGAUUAAAGUUUCUUUAAUAGUUCAGGAUAUGAAGAGUCUAGAGUCAGGAAGAAUCUACUAACUUUCCUGAUUUUUAUUGGCUCUGAGAUCUGAAGCCAGUUUUUUGUUGUUGUUGAGUAUAUGGGAUUGUCAGGCAGAUCUGGCUGUGGAAAGGAGACUGUGGGCAGCAAGUUUAGAGGCGUGACUGAAAGUGGCGCUGUGACCUUAGCUGCUGAAUCAGCUUUCUGGUUACUAUGGGCAACAGCCUUGUUUUCUUUUUGAUGUCCUUUGCAGUGGAUCACAGCUACCUGCUGAGAAACUCCUGGAGAGCAGAGCCAUGCCUGCCAUUUCCAUCAUUGCAUUACCACCACCCAGCACAGUGCCUGGCACAAAAGAGUUGCUCAAUAAAUAAAUCAGGAUGAAUGGAUAAAUACACGGACAGGCACUUUGAACUACAGAUGAGCUUAAAUACUUUGUGUUUUUCUUAGUCAAACAUGUGCAAUUAAGCAUGUGAUAAAUUAUAUGAUGACCACACCUGUGUCUUGCCUGAUGAUCUUUGCAAUCACUAAACAAAGUCAAUUUUGCCUGUUUUGACAGUUCUGUUUUCAACCUAAUCUGGUUCUUUUAACUUCUGGCUGUUGGCUUUGUUUGCGUUGUUAGCCUGACAAAGUGGCAGAUAUUGGUAUAAGCUCUUUUGUUUAAAU
Molecule: long non-coding RNA, 732 nt
Filed under: Homo sapiens (human)
Lineage: Eukaryota; Metazoa; Chordata; Mammalia; Primates; Hominidae
Description: HSALNT0312599
Source: RNAcentral